This 497-nucleotide ribosomal RNA is filed under the name uncultured bacterium. RNAcentral's name for it is "partial 16S ribosomal RNA". It matches the Rfam family "Bacterial small subunit ribosomal RNA", at positions 28 to 507 of the family's 1533-position model. The record is from RNAcentral.
GAUGAACGCUGGCGGCGUGCCUAAUACAUGCAAGUAGAACGCUGAAGGAAGGAGCUUGCUCUUUCCGGAUGAGUUGCGAACGGGUGAGUAACGCGUAGGUAACCUGCCUGGUAGCGGGGGAUAACUAUUGGAAACGAUAGCUAAUACCGCAUAACAGUAGAUGUUGCAUGAUAUCUACUUAAAAGGUGCAAUUGCACCACUACCAGAUGGACCUGCGUUGUAUUAGCUAGUUGGUGAGGUAACGGCUCACCAAGGCGACGAUACAUAGCCGACCUGAGAGGGUGAGCGGCCAAGCUGGGACUGAGACACGGCCCAGACUACUACGGGAGGCAGCAGUAGGGAAUCUUCGGCAAUGGACGGAAGUCUGACCGAGCAACGCCGCGUGAGUGAAGAAGGGUUUCGGAUCGUAAAGCUCUGUUGUAAGAGAAGAACGAGUGUGAGAGUGGAAAGUUCACACUGUGACGGUAUCUUACCAGAAAGGGACGGCUAACUACGUG